GUUCUGUCAUUUUACUAGAAUCCACCCCGACGAAUGGGCCUCUGUCGAGGCGAGUACGCGGCAGCGGCAGCUCUUCCACUGGAGACGCUGAAUCAAAUUCAUUAAAUGCCUAAUUCGAACCAUUCAUUUCCCAUUCCCAAAAUUUAUUUCUCUAAGUGACUCAAAGGCGAUUUGAAGUGUCUUCUAAGUGGAUUCAUCUUGGGACUAUGAGUAUUCAGAGGCUCUUUGGAAGGGUAACGCUCACAUUUAACGGUUCGUGGCAACAGCUCGGCAUCGAGAUUCCACAUCAGGCCCUCUUGAGUGAGUUUCCCGAGGCAGUCAGUUAGAAUUUCCAAGGUGAGCCAUGUUCUGAUCUGCUACUCGGAAAACUCUUCUAUCAUGAUACUUGUCCCUUGUAUUCGAGACAGUAUUGUUCAGACUAGACGUAUUUUACUAUUCAGAAUUAUGCUCAUACUUAGUAGCUUUUGUACUGUGACUUGACCAGAUUCCUUGGGUAGCUGUUAUAUUUCCGCACUUAUAGACUUUAUUUGGUAUAGGGACUGCUUAGAAACUUCUGUUUCUUUUGGUCUGCUUAAUUUGAAAGAUUGAA
Molecule: long non-coding RNA, 589 nt
Organism: Lycium barbarum (goji berry)
Lineage: Eukaryota; Viridiplantae; Streptophyta; Magnoliopsida; Solanales; Solanaceae
Exons: 3
Source: RefSeq, a predicted model, not a curated record